RNAcentral lists this ribosomal RNA (253 nucleotides) under uncultured bacterium. Its description in RNAcentral is "partial 16S ribosomal RNA". It matches the Rfam family "Bacterial small subunit ribosomal RNA", at positions 524 to 776 of the family's 1533-position model. The record is from RNAcentral.
UACGUAGGGUGCGAGCGUUAAUCGGAAUUAUUGGGCGUAAAGGGCGCGUAGGCGGCCUGGCAAGUGGAUGGUGAAAUCCCUCGGCUUAACCGAGGAACUGCCAUCCAGACUGCUUGGCUUGAGACCGGGAGAGGUGAGUGGAAUUCCCAGUGUAGCGGUGAAAUGCGUAGAUAUUGGGAGGAACACCAGUGGCGAAGGCGGCUCACUGGACCGGUACUGACGCUGAGGCGCGAAAGCGUGGGGAGCAAACGGG